This 433-nucleotide ribosomal RNA is filed under the name uncultured bacterium. Its description in RNAcentral is "bacterial SSU rRNA". It matches the Rfam family "Bacterial small subunit ribosomal RNA", at positions 28 to 507 of the family's 1533-position model. The record is from RNAcentral.
GAUGAACGCUGGCGAUAUGCCUAACACAUGCAAGUCGAACGAGACCUUCGGGUCUAGUGGCGCACGGGUGCGUAACGCGUGGGAACCUGCCUUUAGGUUCGGAAUAACAGUGAGAAAUUACUGCUAAUACCGGAUAAGCCCUACGGGGGAAAGAUUUAUCGCCAAAGGAGCGGCCCGCGUCAGAUUAGGUAGUUGGUGGGGUAAAGGCCUACCAAGCCUACGAUCUGUAGCUGGUCUGAGAGGAUGAUCAGCCACACUGGGACUGAGACACGGCCCAGACUCCUACGGGAGGCAGCAGUGGGGAAUCUUGGACAAUGGGCGCAAGCCUGAUCCAGCCAUGCCGCGUGGAUGAUGAAGGCCUUAGGGUUGUAAAAUCCUUUCAACGGGGACGAUAAUGACGGUACCCGUAGAAGAAGCCCCGGCUAACUUCGUG